This 755-nucleotide small RNA is filed under the name Pongo abelii (Sumatran orangutan). Its description in RNAcentral is "processed transcript". Lineage: Eukaryota; Metazoa; Chordata; Mammalia; Primates; Hominidae. The record is from RNAcentral.
AUGCCAGAGUAUAUAUGCAUAUUUGAACAGUCACCUGGAUCUGAUUAAGAAGGCUCAGCCUGUGGGUUUCCUUACUGUUGAUUUACAUGUUUGGCCAGAUUUCCAUGGCAACCGCUCUCCCUUAGCAGAUCUGACACUAAAGGGCAUGGUCACCGGAUUGAAACUGUCUCAGGACCUCGAUGAUCUUGCCAUUCUCUACCUGGCCACAGUUCAAGCCAUUGCUUUGGGGACUCGCUUCAUUAUAGAAGCCAUGGAGGCAGCAGGGCACUCAAUCAGUACUCUUUUCCUAUGUGGAGGCCUCAGCAAGAAUCCCCUUUUUGUGCAAAUGCAUGCAGACAUUACUGGCAUGCCUGUGGUCCUGUCGCAAGAGGUGGAGUCCGUUCUUGUGGGUGCUGCUAUUCUGGGUGCCUGUGCCUCAGGGGAUUUCGCUUCUGUACAGAGUGAUCCAAGAACAGGACCUGUUACUUUCCAUCCAUUGUCAUUCAUAGACCCCUUGAAGCAACCUAGUGGUUGGUAGCAGCGAUCUUUGUGCAGAUGAGGACUCUGAAGCUCAGAAAUGUUGUAUAACUUGUUUAAUACAAAGCGCAUGCUCUUUGUAUUCCAUCAGACCAUAUCCUAUAGAUACAUAUACAUUGCUAGGGAAGUACACUAUGGCAACUGAGACACCUCUCACAAGGUGGUAUGGUUUAUAAGAAAUAGCAUUACACAUUUGUCAUCAUUGCUUGGUUGAGUGUCCAACACAGAAAUAAAAAUAA